CCUACGUGGGGCAGCAGUGGGGCAUAUUGCACAAUGGGGGAAACCCUGAUGCAGCGACGCCGCGUGAGUGAAGAAGUAUUUCGGUAUGUAAAUCUCUGUCAGCAGGGAAGAAAAUGACGGUACCUGACCAAGAAGCCCCUGCUAACUACGUGCCAGCAGCCGCGGUAAUACGUAGGGGGCACGCGUUAUCCGGAUUUACUGGGUGUAAAGGGAGCGUAGACGGCAGGGCAAGUCUGGAGUGAAAGGCGGGGGCUCAACCCCCGGACUGCUCUGGAAACUGCCAGGCUGGAGUGCAGGAGAGGUAAGUGGAAUUCCUAGUGUAGAGGUGAAAUGCGUAGAUAUUAGGAGGAACACCAGUGGCGAAGGCGGCUUACUGGACUGUAACUGACGUUGAGGCUCGAAAGCGUGGGGAGCAAACAGGAUUAGAUACCCGGGUAUUC
This 440-nucleotide ribosomal RNA is filed under the name uncultured bacterium. RNAcentral describes it as "partial 16S ribosomal RNA". It matches the Rfam family "Bacterial small subunit ribosomal RNA", at positions 338 to 795 of the family's 1533-position model. The record is from RNAcentral.